RNAcentral lists this ribosomal RNA (498 nucleotides) under uncultured Glomeromycotina. Its description in RNAcentral is "partial small subunit ribosomal RNA". It matches the Rfam family "Eukaryotic small subunit ribosomal RNA", at positions 591 to 1092 of the family's 1831-position model. Lineage: Eukaryota; Fungi; Glomeromycota. The record is from RNAcentral.
CCAAUAGCGUAUAUUAAAGUUGUUGCAGUUAAAAAGCUCGUAGUUGAAUUUCGGGAUUAGUACGCUGGUCGUGCCUUCGGUAUGUACUGGUGUUACUGGUUCCUACCUUCUGACGAACCGUCAUGUCAUUAAUUUGGUGUGGCGGGGAAUCAGGACUGUUACUUUGAAAAAAUUAGAGUGUUUAAAGCAGGCCCGCGCUUGAAUACAUUAGCAUGGAAUAAUGAAAUAGGACGUUCGAUCCUAUUUUGUUGGUUUCUAGGAUUGACGUAAUGAUUAAUAGGGAUAGUUGGGGGCAUUAGUAUUCAAUUGUCAGAGGUGAAAUUCUUGGAUUUAUUGAAGACUAACUACUGCGAAAGCAUUUGCCAAGGAUGUUUUCAUUAAUCAAGAACGAAAGUUAGGGGAUCGAAGACGAUCAGAUACCGUCGUAGUCUUAACCAUAAACUAUGCCGACUAGGGAUCGGAUGAUGUUAUUUUUAAUGACUCAUUCGGCGCCUUACG